UACGGGGGGGGUAAGCGUUGUUCGGAAUUACUGGGCGUAAAGGGCUCGUAGGCGGCCAACUAAGUCAGACGUGAAAUCCCUCAGCUUAACUGGGGAACUGCGUCUGAUACUGGAUGGCUUGGAUCCGGGAGAGGGAUGCGGAAUUCCAGGUGUAGCGGUGAAAUGCGUAGAUAUCUGGAGGAAGACCAGUGGCGAAGGCGGGUCUCUGGACAGUUCCUGACGCUGAGGCGCGAAGGCCAGGGGAGCAAACGGG
RNAcentral lists this ribosomal RNA (253 nucleotides) under uncultured bacterium. RNAcentral's name for it is "partial 16S ribosomal RNA". It matches the Rfam family "Bacterial small subunit ribosomal RNA", at positions 524 to 776 of the family's 1533-position model. The record is from RNAcentral.